Molecule: ribosomal RNA, 253 nt
Filed under: uncultured bacterium
Lineage: Bacteria
Description: partial 16S ribosomal RNA
Rfam family: Bacterial small subunit ribosomal RNA
Source: RNAcentral
UACGGAGGGUGCAAGCGUUAUCCGGAUUUAUUGGGUUUAAAGGGUGCGUAGGCGGCUUUUUAAGUCAGUGGUGAAAUCCUAGUGCUUAACACUAGAACUGCCAUUGAAACUAAAGAGCUUGAGUCAAGGAGAGGUAAGCAGAAUUUAUGGUGUAGCAGUGAAAUGCUUAGAUAUCAUAAGGAAUACCAAUAGCGAAGGCAGCUUACUGGCCUUGUACUGACGCUGAGGCACGAAAGCGUGGGGAGCAAACAGG